Molecule: long non-coding RNA, 3016 nt
Organism: Cuculus canorus (common cuckoo)
Lineage: Eukaryota; Metazoa; Chordata; Aves; Cuculiformes; Cuculidae
Exons: 3
Source: RefSeq, a predicted model, not a curated record
GGCUGUAAAAUUCAAAGCAAUCACAUUACUAUGGCACAAAUAUUUCAAGUAAAAAUGAAGGUUUGAAAAACAAAGUCACAUCUGACUUAAUAAGUGCAUGUUCUUCUUCAGUUAAUUUGAUUGGUAACUUCAUUGUGUUCCUGCAUUUAGUACAAACACAGUGCAAAUACAAAAGGAGAGGGGAAAGUGGAUUAAUUGUUCUUCAUUAUCAUAAAUAAUAUGAAAGAAAAGCAGAUGGCCAAUGUAGUUUGUGAGUCAGUUCUUAACUAUUUUGUCUCUAAAAAUUUCUUGCAGUGUUUGUAUGCAGAAGUUCUUGUUGAUGCUGUGACUUUAAACAGUUUGUCUUUUUGACCCUGUCUCCAAAGUGCUGGAUCAUGUGUUUCUUGACUGUCCUUGCUGAAGUCUGAGAGAACUACUGAAGAACUACUUUAGUUCUUUAUACAACUCUGUCAAAUCUACUGAAGUACAACCCCUCACUGUUAUGGGCAGAAUCUCAGAAUACUGCAUGGAUCUGUUUAAGUACUGCACGUUUUCUCACCACCACUUUGCACUGCAGUGGAGCUUCACGAAAUACUGAUCAGGAGAAGUUGCUUCAUGCUUCCCCAGAUGAAGAUGAAGAAUUAAUGAAGAAUAAAAUUAGCCAAACUCUGGCCUGUCAGCAUUUCCAGAUGUGUUACCUGUGAUCCUGUCUUAAUGUAAAGUCUUUACAGGCAGUUGACUGCCUUUUAUCAUAAACCUUCCAAUAAAGAAGGCUUUUCUACCUUAACUCUGUCAUGUCAUAUUCAGAUUAUCUGCUGUUCUGAGUGAAAUCUUGUCAAAUAAAAGUUACAUGAAAAGUUUAGAAAAGUAUGUAUUAAAAUAGACACAGAGCUGAAGACAUCAUCUGUGCCCCAAGAUACUGUUAGGAAUUGUCUUCCAGGGCUGAGAAUGAGGAGAGAACAGUAAAGGCAUGAAAGAGGAAAACAGAACAGAGCAGUGAACAGCUAUGUUAGUGUGUGCUCGUGUCCUAAACUCACGGGGGUGUUGGAAAAAUCCUGUAGAGUAGAAACUUACAGUACAGGAGAGUAGAAGUCAUAGGUUCACCUUUGUACUUUGCUGUCUCAGAAACAGCUGUAUAGUAGAAAACUGCCUGCAGUUCUACAGUCUGCUAAUAUCAGCCAAAACAGUAGCCAAGGAUCAGCUACAUACAGCAGCCCAAGAAGAUUCAAAGGAUUAUUUCCAGUGCAAGCUGAAACAUUGUCUAAACGGUGGACAGCACAAUAAUUGAAUUGAGAUCAUUGCAUAUAUCUGAUUGCAGAACACAACAAAUACAGUAAGUUAUCUACUACUUAUGUAAGAAAACCAAAGUACUAAAUGAAAAAAAACCCUACAGAAAGCUAUCUGGAAUACAAACAAAGGACAGCAACAAAUAGCUUGUGAAAUUCCUGACAGAGAAGAUCUGAAAUUUUUACAUAUAGUCCAUUAUGCAAAAGGAAGAAAGAGUAGGAAUGACUGUUUUAGAUCACUGCUGAUUACUCACAGAUGAUGAAGGGGAAAGAAACUGUGAAAUAAUGAUCUCUUCUUGGAUGAAUCAUAAGCAUUUCUUAAUUUAAACAAUAUAGUUAGAGAUCCUACCUGCUGGCUGUCUUCUGCAAACAGGCAUAACCACCCAUCUGCCCGGCUGAGUUGCAUUGAGGUGGCUAUUGUUACCAAUGCUGUUUGCUGCUGUUCACUUUUCCUGCUUGGGAAGAGGAAGACAACAGCAGAUUGCUCGACACACCUGUCCCUGUGAUGAUAAAAGUAAACAUUGCAAGUGUAUAAUGAUAUUGAUAGCUCUUCUCUGGGAUGAAAAUAAGCCCUGUGAAACAGCUGGAGAUGCAAAUAAUAAGCAUUUUUUCUGCAGCAGUGUUGGAGCACAGAGUUAUCAGAAAUAGACGACCUGCAGGAAAGGACUUCAGCUGCAAAGCAUUUUCUAAAUCAACUUUUCAAAUUAUUGCAAUAACUUGGAUGUUGAGUAACUGCAUCAAUAUCUAAGGCUUCAGUCUCUUUGAGCAGAGACAAGCACUUUCCAUAGCUACAGCAAUCUUGAACAGAUUUCCCAGAGCACAUGGGCAAAGUGCUCUUUUAAUGAUUUAGGUUUCCAAACACUUUUCUUCACUGAUAGCUUUGAAUUUUCAUGCACACCACAUCAGCCUUAAAAGUGAAUGCAUUUAAGGAAUUUAUUCUGUAUAUAGAGUACAAAAGUUGCAUCACCAUGCUUCCUCAGGUAACUUGCUUCUGGGGCUUUCCUGAUGUAUAUCAGAUCUCAUUUGGUAUAUAUUAUUGCAGCUCGGUUGACUACUGUGAAUCAAACCCACUUUGAAGAAGCCAAAAAAAGAUACACCCAAGCUUUUCAACUUUUUUAAUGAUCAUAAUACUGUGUUUCUUUGAAUAUUUUUGUUCUUCACUAUUAAAAUAAGUGGCGUGACUCCUGUAUUGUGUGCACUGGGGCUUUGAGUUUUUUAGCAUAAUUAGAUGUAUGCCAUAAAUACACAGUGUCCUCAAUACAGAUUGUGCUAUUUUUAUAGGCUUUAAGUUUGUCUUUCUUCUGCGUGUCUGGAUUCCUAUGUGCUUCGUUUCUAAAACUUUUGGAAGAUGUAUCUCUGACAUGUUCUUUUGGUUAGAAUACGAAAUGGCAUAAAACAGUCAGAUACUCAAAUUUGAUCUGUUCAAGAGAACAGCAGAUUUUUUUUCUCUCAUGAUGACCUGUGUAAUUAUUCUGGCUUGCUUUAAAAUUUCCUUAUAUAUCCAUGUAUCACUAUUUUUUAACUACCCAUGUUUCUGUUGAUGCUUACAUUUCUGGGAAUAUAAUUGUGUUAAAUUCCAUUACAUCACAAUCAUAAAAAGUUCUUUCUCUUUGGUCUUUUUUUACAACAGUGACAGUUGCUUGAAGUAUAAAAAUCUAAAAUUGAGCAAGACCUUAAUCAAUAAACAUUCUCAUAUAACUGAACCAGAUUGUAAUGUAUGGUGUUGAAAGCGCAGGCUAUUUUCCUCUGUA